This 741-nucleotide long non-coding RNA is filed under the name Nicotiana tabacum (common tobacco). RNAcentral's name for it is "long non-coding RNA (NTAB_LNC016200)". Lineage: Eukaryota; Viridiplantae; Streptophyta; Magnoliopsida; Solanales; Solanaceae. The record is from RNAcentral.
AGCUUCCCUCUUUUCGUCUCUGCCAUUUCGCCGACCACCAGUUGCCGCCGCUGGAGGUGGUGACCAGCCAGGCGGCGACCUCUCCUUCUUCCCCUCGCCUCUCUCUCUCUCCCUCUCAUUUUCUACCGGAAGUGAUGACCGGCGGCUGUCGUUCAACCAUGACAAACCCCACUGCCGUGUUCUUCACUUCCUUUUCCUUGUCUGUUCUAAUGGCUCGUUAAUUUUGCAGGUUUGAAACCCGUCGGGCGAAUCAGAUCUGGCCGGUUUUUAGCUUUCCGGUGACUCUCUUACUUCUCUGUUAUAUGGUUAUGUAAACCCAGUAUUAAUAAAAGCAGAUCUAUAAAAUAUGAUCGAAAACUUUAUUCUUUUUGUGGUGCAAAUAAAACUAGCCAGAAUUAAUUUUCCGGCGACAUCAUGAACUCCGGCAAAGCUCCUCUUUUCUGUUUUAUCAACAUCUUUGGUGAUGGCCGCUCGUUUGGUGUAGUAUUUUUGCUGCUGUUAUGACUAACUUUGUCCCUCUUAAUAAUCUAUUUUAUUCUGCUGAUAUGUUGGACUACUGGGACUUCUCUUUAGCCUCUCGUUUGGUUUUAUGAGGCCGUGACUUUGUCAAUGUUAUUAUUGGUGCUGAAACUUUCUGUUGCUUUUUUGUUUGAACCCUGUACUGAUCGUUACUCCCUUUUGUUGAUGUUAAUCAGCUGAGAAAAUAUUGGAUGAGAUACAUUCGUGGUUGUGAGAUCGUUU